RNAcentral lists this long non-coding RNA (769 nucleotides) under Setaria italica (foxtail millet). RNAcentral's name for it is "long non-coding RNA (SITA_LNC001923)". Lineage: Eukaryota; Viridiplantae; Streptophyta; Magnoliopsida; Poales; Poaceae. The record is from RNAcentral.
GGCGGAGGCCCGUAGCCGUGGUGCGGCGGCGGCGGCGGCGCCUGAUCCUGCGGUGGUGGAGGCCCGUAGCCCCGUGGCGGCGGCGGCGGCGCCUCCUUCUGCGGUGGUGGAGGUCCGUAGCCGCGGGGCGGUGGGGGUGGUGCCUGCUGGUGCGGCGGUGGAGGCCCGUAGCCGCGUGGCGGCGGAGGCGGCACGUGCUGGUGCGGGGAUGGAGGCCCGUGGCCGCGGGGUGGUGGAGGCCCGUGACUUCCGGGCGGCGGAGGCGGCACAUGCUGCUGCGGCGGAGGCGGCACAUGCUGCUGCGGCGGAGGAGGCCCAUAGCCGCGGGGCGGUGGAGGCCCGUGGCCGCCGGGCGGCGGUGGAGGUCCAUAGCCGCGGGGCGGCGGAGGCGGAGAGGGAUGUCCCUGCGGAGACCACUGCGGAGCGGGUCCGGGGGGAGGGGGAUUCCUUGGCGGCGCCCACUGCUGCUGAUGGGGCUGGUGAACAUGGUUGGGAGCGGCGGCGGCGGCGGGGGAAGGGGAAGGGUGGUAGGCGUAGGACGACUGGGAAGAUGAGAGGGGGCGGGCGAGGAGGUGGAGGAGGGAACGGGACCUGGCGGAGGAGAUGGCGAAGGAGCGGAGCGGGCGCAGGUGGAUGGCGGCGGUGGCGGCCAUGGUGAAUUGGUGAUUGGCGAGGGCUUCACUUCUCCUCACCUCCGCUUGGGGGGUUUAGCCGUUUAGGCGAAGGCGAGAUUGGGGGAGAUGGAAGAUGUGGAGAUAUUUCCGGGCUC